UACAGAGGGUGCAAGCGUUGUUCGGAAUUACUGGGCGUAAAGCGUGCGCAGGCGGUUUUGUAAGCCAGAUGUGAAAUCCCCGGGCUUAACCUGGGAAUGGCAUUUGGGACUGCAAGGCUGGAGUUUGGCAGAGGAGACUGGAAUUCCUGGUGUAGCAGUGAAAUGCGUAGAUAUCAGGAGGAAUACCGAUGGCGAAGGCAGGUCUCUGGGCUAUAACUGACGCUCAUGCACGAAAGCGUGGGGAGCAAACAGG
This 253-nucleotide ribosomal RNA is filed under the name uncultured bacterium. Its description in RNAcentral is "partial 16S ribosomal RNA". It matches the Rfam family "Bacterial small subunit ribosomal RNA", at positions 524 to 776 of the family's 1533-position model. The record is from RNAcentral.